CCUUGGGGCGGGGUGAGAUUCCCCACCGGCGGUAAAGCCCGCCAGCCUGAAAAGCUCAGGCUGAUCCGGUGAGAUUCCGGAGCCGACGGUAUAGUCCGGAUGAAAAAGG
RNAcentral lists this non-coding RNA (109 nucleotides) under bovine gut metagenome. RNAcentral's name for it is "FMN riboswitch (RFN element)". It matches the Rfam family "FMN riboswitch aptamer (RFN element)". Rfam says of the family: The RFN element is a highly conserved domain that is found frequently in the 5'-untranslated regions of prokaryotic mRNAs that encode for flavin mononucleotide (FMN) biosynthesis and transport proteins. The record is from RNAcentral. RNAcentral also lists the same sequence under 1 other name.